This is a long non-coding RNA of Schistocerca serialis cubense, 2049 nucleotides long. RefSeq lists it as uncharacterized. Lineage: Eukaryota; Metazoa; Arthropoda; Insecta; Orthoptera; Acrididae. The record is from RefSeq and is a predicted model, not a curated record. The transcript has 3 exons.
AGAGUACGGCGUUUCUGUUCAAUGAGCUAUCGCGAUAGCAGAUGAAACAGUUGUUCAGAUAGGUGGACCACAACAGGCUCAAAUGUCGUGCAUAGAGAGAAGAAAGUUACGACAGAAAUAGUCCUAUUUACGUGAUUCUAUUUCGUACAGUAAACUUCGACAACGGCAGCUGUUCCCCUGUCCAGGAUGCAAAUCCGCAAUGUUGUCGAAUUUGAAUGAUUGAGGACCAGUAAUGUCACAAACAAGCACAUUGCCUAAUCACACUGCUCAUUGAGCUUUGAAUCGAUGUACUAUGGGCCCAGAAGAGAUGAAAAAACGGGCAUCAAUCUCAAUAACAUCAGAAGCAAUACUAACAGCAGAACAAUUGCCAGCAGCAAAAACAUCUCCUGGAGUAGAAGAAGCAGCAUGUAAAAAGAUCAUAAAGAAAUCAACACUACCAAAAGCAGCACAGAAGAGAGGUGGAAGGAAUAAAAGAAAGCAGGGGCCUAUGUAUUUGAUGGGAGAGUAUUUUUACAUCCACAGAUAUCUGACCUCACUUAUGGAAGAACACUCAAUGGAAAAAAAUAUCCAAGUCAUCAUGGAACAUUGCAAUUUGUCAUGAAAGCAAAGUAAAAUGGCAAAAUAAAUGUUAAGAAGUUACCAAAGCACGUAAUCGAGUACUAUAACAUGAGUGAGUGCAGCAAAAACAGAUUAACUUCCGAUGCUACAGCUGGGUGCAUGCAAGAAGGUGGCAGUGCGAUGUAUUCUGCACAGUGGGAGAAAGAGAAUAAUAUGUAAAUUGAAGGUGGAGGGGGAGAAAUAGUAGGAAAGAGAAGGAAUUACUUAUGUCAGCUGCAGCAUGACUUUAUAUGGAAUCAGCGGUGAUGAGUGAAAAUGUAUUCUAGGCAAUUGCAUUAACCAUUGCACCAUCUGGACACAGUGUUUAUUGUGGACUAUCUCAGCACAUCUCCAGGCCAAACCACAUUUCACCUGUUGCAGUCCCGAUCAGGUCCUCCUUGAGACUCCUACAGGAGUUUGAACGAAAUUGUGCAUCCACACUGAAUGUGGUGGUUUUAUAGCCCAUUGAAGUGAAUCAGUUAUAUGAAUGUGUGUUGUCUGUUCUUUCAGGCAUGUCCAAAAGAACAGGCACCAUAUGGAAUCCACAGCUGUUAUACAUAUUAUGUAAACUGAAGGUGGAGGGAGAGAAAGGAAAUGAAAGGGAAGGAACUAUUGAUGUCAGCUGCAUUGGUACUUUAUGCAAAAUCAUUGGUGAUGAGUGAAAAUGUGUGCUCUUCCAGGACUCACACAAGAUCUCCUGCUUACUAGGCAGUUGCAUUCACCACUAUGCCAUCCAGACAUAGUGUUAUCAAAAUUAUGUGGACUAUCGCAGGAUGCCUCCCAAGUGACCCACAUUCUCAAGUAGGCCACCUAUCUGCCAUCCCCAUCCGUGUCCUCCAUGCUCACUACUUUGAAAGUCCCACAGGAGGUUGAACACAAUUGUGCAUCCACACUAAAUGUGGAGGAUUCAUCAUAAAUUGAGGCAAAUCAGUUAUAUGAAUGCAUGGUGUCUGUUCUUUCGGACACAUUUGAAAGAACAGACUCCAUGAAGACUCCACAGCUGUGCCAUAUAUUAUGUAAACUAAAGGUGGAGGGGGGAAGAAAGGACAGCAAAGCUACUAUUGACAUCAGCUGCAUUGGGACUACAUGUGGUGGCUGUACUUUUAGAUAUCUCCGAAAGAACGGACACCGCGAAUUCGUAUAUAGACUGAGAAUAAUUUGCGAUGUUUCCAUUAUGCUCUUUGUGUCUGUCCCACAAUUCUUACUACAGCCAUCACCUACCCUAAUAGCUGGCAACACAGGGAUGAGCACUACACCUAGCAACUGUUUCUGCUUCUGACUUGGCAGUAUUUAUAUGCUCGGGAACUAUUAUUACUGUUGCUUCUUAACGUAAUACUUCAUGUGUUUGCAUUACUUCAUCCUUAAUUAGCACUAUCAUGGGAAAGUAACCACAAUAUAUAUAAACUAACAUGAAAAUAAACAAUUAAUGUUCUGAGCACACCCUGAUGUGUC